This 497-nucleotide ribosomal RNA is filed under the name uncultured bacterium. RNAcentral describes it as "partial 16S ribosomal RNA". It matches the Rfam family "Bacterial small subunit ribosomal RNA", at positions 28 to 507 of the family's 1533-position model. The record is from RNAcentral.
GAUGAACGCUGGCGGCGUGCCUAAUACAUGCAAGUCGAGCGAACAGACGAGGAGCUUGCUCCUUCGACGUUAGCGGCGGACGGGUGAGUAACACGUAGGUAACCUACCUAUAAGACUGGGAUAACUUCGGGAAACCGGAGCUAAUACCGGAUAAUAUUUCGAACCGCAUGGUUCGAUAGUGAAAGAUGGCUUUGCUAUCACUUAUAGAUGGACCUGCGCCGUAUUAGCUAGUUGGUAAGGUAACGGCUUACCAAGGCAACGAUACGUAGCCGACCUGAGAGGGUAAUCGGCCACACUGGAACUGAGACACGGUCCAGACUCCUACGGGAGGCAGCAGUAGGGAAUCUUCCGCAAUGGGCGAAAGCCUGACGGAGCAACGCCGCGUGAGUGAUGAAGGUCUUCGGAUCGUAAAACUCUGUUAUUAGGGAAGAACAAACGUGUAAGUAACUGUGCACGUCUUGACGGUACCUAAUCAGAAAGCCACGGCUAACUACGUG